CCCCCCCCAUUUUUAAAAAAAAAUUUUAAAACUCUCUCCCCUCUCAUCUUCUUCCCCAGAAUCCGGCCACCGGUCCGGCCCGGCCUCCGGCAUUGCACCGCCGUGUGCGGUGGCCGACGUCUCAAAAUCGGAUCUUUUUUAUCCUAGUUCGAAGCCGAGUGUCUCUUAGGCACGGAUCUGGGGCCGAAUCUCGUGAAACAAAGGCCGAAGACCCGAAAAAGGGCGAAACCGCUCGCCUUCCUCCACGUCCGGCGCGGCGCAGGUAAAAAAGGUAAAAAGCCUUCUCCUUUAUUUUUUUCUUUAUGUUUUCAAGUUAAAAAUAAAUAAAUAAACUUAAAAGAAAUAAAAACAGUAAGCAAAAGAAAAGAUAAAACUGAGCCAAAAAAAAGUUCAACCUUUUUCUUUUUGUUCUUUUAUAAAAAUCGAGGCCGAACCCCUCUUGAUGAAUACAUUCGACUUUUUAUAGCCUUUUCAUACAUUUUUUUUAUCUAUGUUUACUGCUAUUUUGUUGUUCUUCUCCUGCUUUGCGUGUUUGGUUUGCUGUUUUGCAGGUGUCAGUAGAGCCGGUGGCGAUGUGACCGUGACGGUGGCAAGUGGGCAUGGUUGCAGGCGGCGGCAGAUGCAAGUGGGUAGAUGCGGCGCCUAGGUUAGGGGCUAGGGUUUCAGACUUUCUGAAACCCUAGGCAGAUUUUUUUCAUGAAGUUGGGCCUGGGCUAAGUGGGCUUCGGGUUUGGGUGUAAAUGGGUAGUUGGGCUGGUGGGUUGAUUGGUUAGUUGGGUUUUGGGUUAAGUUUGUUUUAAUUUUGGGUCUGCUGGUAUGGGUUUAGUCUAGGUGGGUUAAUUUGGGUACUGGGUCAAAAUGUUUUUGUUUAGUUUAGGGUUAAUUGGGUUUUGGGCUAAAAAUUGGGCUUGUACAAUAGAUUUAAAGGUUGUUAGCAAUGUCAAGACUAAAAUUUUAAAUUUUGAAAAGUAUAGGGAUAAGUAAGAAUGAUCCAAUUAAAAGAACAAGGACUAAAUCUACAUGUGUUAUUAUUUGGGUCAAAACUAAAAUUUAACCAAACAUAUUUAACUACUAUCGUUUUACGUCAUGAUUAAAUUUUCAAAAUUCAAAAAGUACAAAAGACUAGAAAAAACACAGGUACUAAAUUUAGAAAAUUUAUAAAAAAAGACUAAAUCCACAAUUUAUACAGUGUAUAGGGACUAAAUAAAAAUUUGACCUAAAAUUUAUAUAAAUCUCCUCACUCUCCGCCAAUCUCUCCCCUUUGGACUUUUAUGGAUA
Molecule: long non-coding RNA, 1278 nt
Filed under: Gossypium raimondii (Peruvian cotton)
Lineage: Eukaryota; Viridiplantae; Streptophyta; Magnoliopsida; Malvales; Malvaceae
Description: long non-coding RNA (GRAI_LNC006522)
Source: RNAcentral